Molecule: unclassified non-coding RNA, 349 nt
Filed under: Hevea brasiliensis (rubber tree)
Lineage: Eukaryota; Viridiplantae; Streptophyta; Magnoliopsida; Malpighiales; Euphorbiaceae
Source: RNAcentral
UGCAGCUACUGAAACAAAGAUCAAAAGCGGUUUCGUUAAUCUCCCCAUUUCAAUUUCCUUCUUCGUGAAUUGAUCAUCUCUUUUAGAUGCUUUACUUUUUUUAACUUUCGUUUGGUGGUGGUUUAGUUUCAUCUAUAAAUCCAGGAUGGCGACGGCAAUGGUGGAGGAAUCGAACUUCGAAGAUGACCAGCUUGCGUCUAUGACAACCGAGGACAUUCUUAGAGCCUCUCGUCUUCUCGAUAACGAGAUUCGUAUCCUCAAGGAAGAGUUGCAGAGAACGAAUUUAGAGCUGGAUUCAUAUAAGGAGAAGAUAAAAGAGAAUCAGGAGAAGAUUAAGCUCAACAAGCAG